RNAcentral lists this ribosomal RNA (254 nucleotides) under uncultured bacterium. RNAcentral describes it as "partial 16S ribosomal RNA". It matches the Rfam family "Bacterial small subunit ribosomal RNA", at positions 524 to 776 of the family's 1533-position model. The record is from RNAcentral.
CACGUAGGGGGCAAGCGUUGUCCGGAUUUAUUGGGCGUAAAGAGCUCGUAGGCGGUUCGGUAAGUCGGGUGUGAAACCUCCAGGCUCAACCUGGAGACGCCACCCGAUACUGCUGUGACUAGAGUCCGGUAGGGGAGCGUGGAAUUCCCGGUGUAGCGGUGAAAUGCGCAGAUAUCGGGAGGAACACCAGUGGCGAAGGCGGCACUCUGGGCCGGUACUGACGCUGAGGAGCGAAAGCGUGGGGAGCGAACAGG